Molecule: ribosomal RNA, 163 nt
Filed under: uncultured bacterium
Lineage: Bacteria
Description: partial 16S ribosomal RNA
Rfam family: Bacterial small subunit ribosomal RNA
Source: RNAcentral
ACAGAGCGCCUACGGGAGCAGCAGUGGGGAAUAUUGCACAAUGGGGGAAACCCUGAUGCAGCGACGCCGCGUGAGCGAAGAAGUACUUCGGUAUGUAAAGCUCUGUCAGCAGGGAAGAUAAUGACGGUACCUGACCCAAGAAGCCCCGGCUAACUACGUCGCC